RNAcentral lists this transfer RNA (69 nucleotides) under Ictidomys tridecemlineatus (thirteen-lined ground squirrel). RNAcentral's name for it is "Spermophilus tridecemlineatus (thirteen-lined ground squirrel) tRNA". It matches the Rfam family "tRNA". Rfam says of the family: Transfer RNA (tRNA) molecules are approximately 80 nucleotides in length. Their secondary structure includes four short double-helical elements and three loops (D, anti-codon, and T loops). Further hydrogen bonds mediate the characteristic L-shaped molecular structure. tRNAs have two regions of fundamental functional importance: the anti-codon, which is responsible for specific mRNA codon recognition, and the 3' end, to which the tRNAs corresponding amino acid is attached (by aminoacyl-tRNA synthetases). tRNAs cope with the degeneracy of the genetic code in two manners: having more than one tRNA (with a specific anti-codon) for a particular amino acid; and 'wobble' base-pairing, i.e. permitting non-standard base-pairing at the 3rd anti-codon position. Lineage: Eukaryota; Metazoa; Chordata; Mammalia; Rodentia; Sciuridae. The record is from Rfam by way of RNAcentral.
GGGGUUGUGGUUCAGUGGUAGAGCACUCGCCUAGCAUGUGAGAGGCACUGGGUUCAAUCCUCAGCACCA